GUAGGUGAACCUGCGGAAGGAUCAUUAUUGAAUGAACUUGGUGUGGUUGUUGCUGGCUCUUUCGAGGGCAUGUGCACGCCCACCAUCCUCAUCUCUCCACCUGUGCACCUCUUGUAGACUUGGAUUGACUUUCCGAGGCAACUCGGUCGGGAGGAUUGCCGGCGCCAGCUGGCUUUCUUUGCAUUUCCAGGUCUACGUUUUUCAUAUACCCCAUUGUAUGUAACAGAAUGUAACAUUGGGCACUUGUGCC
Molecule: unclassified non-coding RNA, 250 nt
Filed under: plant metagenome
Description: partial contains small subunit ribosomal RNA, internal transcribed spacer 1, and 5.8S ribosomal RNA
Source: RNAcentral